This 497-nucleotide ribosomal RNA is filed under the name uncultured bacterium. Its description in RNAcentral is "partial 16S ribosomal RNA". It matches the Rfam family "Bacterial small subunit ribosomal RNA", at positions 28 to 507 of the family's 1533-position model. The record is from RNAcentral.
GAUGAACGCUGGCGGCGUGCCUAAUACAUGCAAGUCGAGCGAACAGACGAGGAGCUUGCUCCUCUGACGUUAGCGGCGGACGGGUGAGUAACACGUGGAUAACCUACCUAUAAGACUGGGAUAACUUCGGGAAACCGGAGCUAAUACCGGAUAAUAUAUUGAACCGCAUGGUUCAAUAGUGAAAGACGGUUUUGCUGUCACUUAUAGAUGGAUCCGCGCCGCAUUAGCUAGUUGGUAAGGUAACGGCUUACCAAGGCAACGAUGCGUAGCCGACCUGAGAGGGUGAUCGGCCACACUGGAACUGAGACACGGUCCAGACGCCUACGGGAGGCAGCAGUAGGGAAUCUUCCGCAAUGGGCGAAAGCCUGACGGAGCAACGCCGCGUGAGUGAUGAAGGUCUUCGGAUCGUAAAGCUCUGUUAUUAGGGAAGAACAAAUGUGUAAGUAACUAUGCACGUCUUGACGGUACCUAAUCAGAAAGCCACGGCUAACUACGUG